CGGCGGGCGGGUGAGUAACACGUGGGUAACCUACCUAUAAGACUGGGACAACUUCGGGAAACCGGAGCUAAUACCGGAUAAGAUAUCGAACCGCAUGGUUCGAUAGUGAAAGAUGGUUUUGCUAUCACUUAUAGAUGGACCCGCGCCGUAUUAGCUAGUUGGUGAGGUAACGGCUCACCAAGGCAACGAUACGUAGCCGACCUGAGAGGGUGAUCGGCCACACUGGAACUGAGACACGGUCCAGACUCCUACGGGAGGCAGCAGUG
RNAcentral lists this ribosomal RNA (266 nucleotides) under uncultured Staphylococcus sp. RNAcentral describes it as "partial 16S ribosomal RNA". It matches the Rfam family "Bacterial small subunit ribosomal RNA", at positions 96 to 356 of the family's 1533-position model. Lineage: Bacteria; Bacillati; Bacillota; Bacilli; Caryophanales; Staphylococcaceae. The record is from RNAcentral.